AACAACAACGACGACGGAAACCGCAAAAGAAGAAGCACAGCAGCCGUGCUGCUCAAGUGUGCUUCGUCGUACUAUACGUCAUUAUUAUUAGUAAUAAAGUGCGCCGCCCCUACUUCUCACCGCUCGCCGACGACAAACAGACAAUUGAAAUGAGACCGUCACAGCGAGAGCUAUCAGGACGUUUUUAAAAUUUUAUUUAUGGAGCAGGCGCGAAAUAGAAAUCAAGCCGCGAAGAAGCAGAAGACGACAUGUGUCUAAUGCGCGCGAACCACGGAACAAGACAAACACCAAUCAAUAGACCGCAACAAAAGCACAAAGAAACAGCUUUAGCGUCCUCGAAAGGACACGCCGGCAGUAAGGGCGAUUUACAAGAAAGUUGUGGAACAUAGACUAACGCUGCCCGAUACAAGUCAUCGGCUACUCCCGCCGGAGUGGUCAGUGAGCCUGUGGUGUGCUAAGACCUAGUAAUUUGCAGUACGUAUGCGCAAUUGGUGAUCGUGGGUUCAAGUCACGGCUCAUGCAGCAACUGCGGGUGCGAUUUGGGUUCAUCGCUGACGCGUUAUAUUAAUCGACGUGUCCAGCAGCAGC
Molecule: long non-coding RNA, 588 nt
Filed under: Volvox carteri
Lineage: Eukaryota; Viridiplantae; Chlorophyta; Chlorophyceae; Chlamydomonadales; Volvocaceae
Description: long non-coding RNA (VCAR_LNC003630)
Source: RNAcentral